CCUCCUCAACCUCAACCCCGAAAUCCCAAGCGCAGAACCACUGGGCUUCCGGUUCUCCUGUGCGCGCCCCGGAUCCGCCACACACCUCGCCCCUUCUCCCUGGGCUAGCUCUCAGGACCGUAACCCCUUCCCAAGCGGGGCCGAGCAACGCUCUCAGCAGCUGAACUAAGACUUCGGAGGCCGCACGUCCCCCUCCGCAGGCCCCGCCUGGGCCUCUCGGCUCGGCUGCCCUCCAUUGCACCCCUGGCCCAACCGUGCUGACGCAGAAGAGUGGGGCAGCACGAGCUCAGGGCCCGGCACUUACUCGGGAAGCCACUGCAGUUACCAAAGAGUAUGUCGCUUAUUGUCUAAGAGGUUGGACUCCUGAAAGCCUGGACAGUGUCAUUAUCUUCACCUGAAGAGUGGAAAAAUUCAAGCAAAGAGUUUCUCAGGAAAUCACCAAGUAAAUCAUCUGGAGUAAGUCAGCAGGAUUCACAGUGACUCCCCCCAACCACCUGGUGUUUCUCUCCGAAAGCAGCACAUGGUACCAGUGUGAACUCUCCUCCUUCAGAAGUCCCAUCAGGUGUCUCAG
Molecule: long non-coding RNA, 571 nt
Organism: Nomascus leucogenys (northern white-cheeked gibbon)
Lineage: Eukaryota; Metazoa; Chordata; Mammalia; Primates; Hylobatidae
Exons: 3
Source: RefSeq, a predicted model, not a curated record